UGCAAGUCGAACGAGAUCUUCGGGUCUAGUGGCGCACGGGUGCGUAACGCGUGGGAAUCUGCCCUUUGGUUCGGAAUAACAGUUGGAAACGACAGCUAAUACCGGAUGAUGACGAAAGUCCAAAGAUUUAUCGCCAGAGGAUGAGCCCGCGUAGGAUUAGCUAGUUGGUGUGGUAAAGGCGCACCGAGGCGACGAUCCUUAGCUGGUCUGAGAGGAUGAUCAGCCACACUGGGACUGAGACACGGCCCAGACUCCUACGGGAGGCAGCAGUGGGGAAUAUUGGACAAUGGGCGAAAGCCUGAUCCAGCAAUGCCGCGUGAGUGAUGAAGGCCUUAGGGUUGUAAAGCUCUUUUACCCGGGAUGAUAAUGACAGUACCGGGAGAAUAAGCUCCGGCUAACUCCGUGCCAGCAGCCGCGGUAAUACGGAGGGAGCUAGCGUUGUUCGGAAUUACUGGGCGUAAAGCGCACGUAGGCGGCUUUGUAAGUUAGAGGUGAAAGCCUGGAGCUCAACUCCAGAACUGCCUUUAAGACUGCAUCGCUUGAAUCCAGGAGAGGUGAGUGGAAUUCCGAGUGUAGAGGUGAAAUUCGUAGAUAUUCGGAAGAACACCAGUGGCGAAGGCGGCUCACUGG
Molecule: ribosomal RNA, 630 nt
Filed under: uncultured bacterium
Lineage: Bacteria
Description: bacterial SSU rRNA
Rfam family: Bacterial small subunit ribosomal RNA
Source: RNAcentral